RNA transcript from Phalaenopsis equestris, 2430 nucleotides. It is a transcript of the gene named aspartic proteinase-like protein 2, with no coding region annotated. Lineage: Eukaryota; Viridiplantae; Streptophyta; Magnoliopsida; Asparagales; Orchidaceae. The transcript has 11 exons. The record is from RefSeq and is a predicted model, not a curated record.
UAUAAAUACCUGCAUUCCAUCUAAACUUUGCCAGCCGGCCAAAAUAAACCAAUCGAACAAUCCGUGCGGCUCCAUCGAAACAGCAUUGCUCUCCUUUCGGUUCCCUCCUCUUUUCUUAUUCCCACGCUCUUAGCUGUCCGCUGUUCCUUCCGUCUCCUUCUCCUCCUCCAGCCCUCCCUUCUUGGAGAAGGAGACGUGGGAACGAUAAUUCAUCUCGCCGUCUCGCAUCAUUUAUUCCCCGCAUUAAUUGAUGGAUCGCCGGAGGGUUCAUCACCGGACACAGCAUCUCUUUUUUCUACUACUUUGUUUCAUCUCAUUCUUUGGUUUGGGGAGCGGCAAUGGUGUGUUUAGGGUUCAGCGCAAAUACUCCGAGCAGUCGCAUAUCGCCGACCUCCGCGCUCAUGACGUUCGCCGCCAUGGUAGAAUCCUUUCUAGCGUCGCGGCCGGCGCAGUCGACAUUCCCCUUGGAGGCAUUGGCGUUCCCACGGAGACCGGGCUUUACUAUGCUGAAAUUGAUAUUGGAACACCUUCAAAGCCUUACCACGUGCAGGUGGACACGGGAAGUGACAUCCUUUGGUUGAAUUGCAUCACUUGUAAGCAUUGCCCUAAGAAGAGUGAUAUUGGGAUAACACUUUCUCUUUAUGAUCUCAAGAGUUCUUCGAGUGGAAGCCUAAUGUCUUGUGAUGAGAGCUUCUGCUCAUCAACAUAUGGUGGUGAGAUCCCUGGUUGUAUUCAUGAUGCACCAUGCCAAUACACCGUAUUAUACGGUGAUGGUAGCUCGACUGCUGGAUAUUUUGUGACAGAUCUUAUGCACUAUAAUCUUGUUUCUGGUAGUCAUCAAACAAAAAUAGCCAGUGCAAGCGUUACAUUUGGAUGUGGUAACCAGCAGUCUGGCGACCUUGGAUCAUCAGCGGAAGCAGUUGAUGGAAUACUUGGAUUUGGACAGUCAAACUCAUCCAUGAUAUCGCAACUUGCUUCUGCUGGAAAAGUAAGAAAGAUAUUUUCACAUUGUUUAGACACUAAAAAUGGAGGUGGUAUAUUCGCCAUAGGACAUGUGGUAGAGCCUAAAGUCAAGACAACACCAUUGGUACCUGACAUGCCACAUUACAACAUCAUACUUAAGUCAAUUCAAGUUGGUGGGGAAUUCCUGAAACUUCCAACCGAUAUUUUUGAAACAGGGGACAACAAAGGUACAAUACUUGACAGUGGAACAACAUUGGCUUACCUACCAGAGCAAGCUUUUAAGGCAUUGAUGAAUGCGAUAUUUUCUUAUCAGCCUGGUUUGACCUUCCAAACCACCCAGGGUUUUCUUUGCUUUGAAUUUUCAGGAAGUGUUGAUGAUGGCUUCCCGAAGAUCAUCUUCCAUUUUGAGGAUUCAGUGGAAUUGCCAAUAUAUCCUCAUGAUUAUUUAUUUUCAACUGGGAGGAAUUAUUGGUGUGCUGGUUUCCAAAACAGUGCAUUACAGUCAAAAGAUGGGAAAGAUAUGAUUCUUUUAGGAGAUAUGGUCUUGGCAAACAAGUUAGUUGUUUACGAUCUUGAGAAUCAAGUUGUUGGUUGGACCGAGUAUGACUGCUCAUCCAGCAUCAAGAUUCAAGACGACGUAACAACAGCAUUGUACGCCGUCGAUGCUCACAAUUUAUCCUCCGCCACCCUACUGGAGAUCAGAGGAUUCAUCGCAUUCCUAAUGGCAACUUUCAUGAUAAUUAAUCUAGUACUUUGAACCAGCAGAGAGAAAUGACCAAUAACAGCAUUUGUUUAUUGUUUUCUGAUAUAAAGCAAUUUGUAUGCUCAUUCUUGAGGCCCAGCUCAGAAGAAAUUGUUGCUCAGUUGUGCAGAUUUUCCACAAGGGCCCUGUUCAUUUAUUAUAAUACGCCAAUUAUUCUUUUGAUGGUGGAUUUCUGAAGAAGAGAUGCAGUUUUAUUUCUUCUUCCUUGUGAGGGAGCUCUGAAGGUAGUGUCAGCCGCCAAGCAAUUCAAAUUUAGUGGUAUUGUACCUGACCUAGAGGCAAAGUUGGACCAUAUGUUUAGUGGGGUUGUUGCAAUGAGCACACAUAUGUUCACCCCAAGUGAGCAUUGGCUUGCAACCAUACAAGUGGACUUGGAGACCGAAGGUAAGUGGGUCCGCUGAAGGCCCCAACCUAAACCAAAAGGAGCUAAAGUCUACAUGCCGUUAAAAGCGUCUUAGGGUGGAGAAAAAGAAAAAAAAGGUGUUGCUUUCGUCAAAAGCCAAGUAGUAAAAUUGGUGGAUGUGUGCACAAUUCAGGCUGAUACUUUAAAUGAUACCUCCAUAGACGACUUUCUCUGAGUUCUGGAGACAUCCUGAAGUUUAUCGGGAUAAGUUGUAUUUGAACUCCUUAAAGUUGUCGGAGGACCCGACUCGCAUACAAAUAUUUAUCAAGAUGCCCAAUGACUGUCAGGUCGACUAUUUACG